UCCCGUUGAUCCUGCGGGAGGUUGCUGCUAUUAGAGUUCGACUAAGCCAUGCAAGUCUGGUAGCAAUACCGGCAGACUGCUCAGUAACACGUCAAUAAUCUAACCUAUAGUCUAGGAUAACUUUGGGAAACUGAGGUUAAUACUGGAUGGGAGAAUUAUAUUGGAAAUAAUUUUUUCUCUGAAAAGCAAUGCUAUAGGGUGAGUUGGCGGCGGAUUAGGUUGUUGGUGGGGUAAAGGCCCACCAAGCCAAAGAUCCGUAGGGGCCUUGAGAGAGGUAACCCCGAGAAGGGCACUGAGAUACUGGCCCUAGCCCCACGGGGUGCAGCAGGCGCGAAACCUUUACAAUGCACGCAAGUGUGAUAAGGGAACUCUAAGUGCUUUACUUAUGUAAGGCUUUUGCCAAAAGUAAAUAUUUUGGCGAAUAAGUGGUGGGCAAGACUGGUGCCAGCCGCCGCGGUAACACCAGCGCCACGAGUGGGAACCGUAUUUAUUGGGUCUAAAGCGUCCGUAGCUGGUUCUUUAAAUCUUUUGUGAAAUUGUUAAAUUGAACUUAACAACGUGCAGGAGACACUGGAGAACUAGAAACCGGGAGGGGUUAGAAGUAUUUCUGGGGUAGCGGUAAAAUGCUAUAAUCCCAGAAGGACUACCUGUGGCGAAGGCGUCUAACCAGAACGGAUUUGACAGUGAGGGACGAAAGCCAAGGGAGCGAACCGGAUUAGAUACCCGAGUAGUCUUGGCUGUAAACGCUGCGAGCUAGGUGUUACAUAUUCUUCGGGAAUAUGUAGUGUCGAAGUGAAGAUGUUAAGCUCGCCACCUGGGAAGUAUGGUCGCAAGACUGAAACUUAAAGGAAUUGGCGGGGGAGCACUACAAGGGGUGCGGCGUGCGGUUUAAUCUAAUUCAACACAGAAAAUCUCACCAGAAGCGACGGCAGAAUGAAAGUCAGGCUGAAGGUCUUACUUGACAAGCCGAGAGGUAGUGCAUGGCCGCCGUCAGCUCGUGCCGUAAGGUGUCCUGUUAAGUCAGGUAACGAGCGAGACCUGUACUUACAAUUGCUAACAACUAGCAAUAGGAUUGAGCACAUUGUAAGGACUGCCCUGGAAACAGGGAGGAAGGUGCAGGCUACGGUAGGUCUGUAUGCUCCGAAUCUUCUGGGCUACACGCGCGCAACAAUGGUAAGAACAAUGGGAUACAACUCCGAAAGGAAAAGUUAAUCCUCUAAAUCUUAUCUUAGUUCAGAUUGAGGGCUGUAACUCGUCCUCAUGACGUUGGAAUCCCUAGUAAUCGGACGUCAAAAACGUCCGGUGAAUAUGUCCCUGCUCCUUGCACACACCGCCCGUCAAACCACCCGAGUAGGGUUUAGAUGAGGCUUAAUUUUUAAUUAAGUCGAAUCUAAGCUCAGCGAGGAGGGUUAAGUCGUCACAAGGUA
RNAcentral lists this ribosomal RNA (1427 nucleotides) under metagenome. RNAcentral's name for it is "bacterial SSU rRNA". It matches the Rfam family "Archaeal small subunit ribosomal RNA". The record is from RNAcentral.